Molecule: microRNA, 21 nt
Filed under: Malus domestica (apple)
Lineage: Eukaryota; Viridiplantae; Streptophyta; Magnoliopsida; Rosales; Rosaceae
Description: mdm-miR11014
Source: miRBase by way of RNAcentral
CGACCAUUCAUGAAAACUGCC